Long non-coding RNA from Cyprinus carpio (common carp), 824 nucleotides. RefSeq lists it as uncharacterized. Lineage: Eukaryota; Metazoa; Chordata; Actinopteri; Cypriniformes; Cyprinidae. The transcript is spliced from 3 exons. The record is from RefSeq and is a predicted model, not a curated record.
AAAAUAAAAUAAAAUAAAUAUUUCUCAACUCUGGGGGAAAAUUUUCUCUGAACAUCUUCUGAACAUCUCAGUUUAAAUGACUUUUCAAGGCUCUGGCCUUGUUGCAGCUCCAGAGCGUCCAGAUUCUCAUUGAGACGUGCUUCUCGAUCAUCUGAGGAGUCUUGGAGUACGAGCAGAAGAAGAGUUUAUUGUUGUCUCUUCUUCGAGUGGAUUUACAUACGAGACAUUUUCAUUUAUUAAUAUAGUUCACACAGGUCUGGUACAUAUUUAUCAAUUUAAGUAUUAAGAUGUUUUGUUUCUAUGUUCAUUAUGUUUGAACUGAACUAACAGACAAGAUCACAGAUCCAGCAGAAACUGAAGUCUGUAUUUCUGCUGGAUCAUUAUUCAGAGAGAUUUUGAUCAUUCUUAAGACUGCAGUGUUUGCUGCUCCUACUGUGAUUCUUCUUCAGAUCAUCUGUGCAAGAAGAGCUGAGAGGAAGGACUCGCAGCAGCCAGAGGAAAUAGAGAUUAAUACAAUAAUAGAAUAAAAUACUCUACAAAUAACAGGCCAGAUUACAGCAAGAUUUAUCUUCAUCUCUAUGAAUUUAUGGAUAUUUGCAUACAGUUUUGAAGGAUAUUUUCCAGUGCACCAUACUGUACUGAAUACAUAAAAUAUAAUAUUAAAUACUUACUUAUGAAAAUUAUAUGAGUGAUUGUCUUUCCACCUACAUCAUGCUGCAACAUGUUUUUAUGUCAGACGUGCAUAAAUAAUCAUUCACAAUGUGCUCUUCAGAUAUUUCCUGAAUACUUAUUUGAGUCUUUUUCAGUCAAAAAGUGUCAAAGUA